Juglans regia (Persian walnut) is the source of this 456-nucleotide long non-coding RNA. RefSeq lists it as uncharacterized. The transcript has 2 exons. NCBI's taxonomy places the organism in Eukaryota, Viridiplantae, Streptophyta, Magnoliopsida, Fagales, Juglandaceae. The record is from RefSeq and is a predicted model, not a curated record.
CUCAAGCCGAUUCUUCCAUUUCGUAAGCCCAAGUCUCCCACCGUAAAUCUCCAGGGGAAAAUCAACCUCCUUUGAGAUUUCAGAUUUUUCUCUUCCUCUUCUCAUUGCUGUGUUUCCGUUGCUUGAAAAGGGGAUCAAAUUAGGUAUGAAUGAUGAGGCUGUGGAGCUAGACACUGCUGAGGAGGGAAGGGCUGAUGCUUAGAAUUCCCUGUCGGUUUGGUUUGAUGAUAAUGGUUAUGUUUUAUGUUUUAUGAUGGGUCUCAUGUUGUGACAUUCUGUUGGUUUGACUUUAAGACAAUAUGUCCUUGGGCAUGAUGUAGGUAUUGUGGUGGGAUGAUGGUAACCCCACAUAAGAUAGUUAAUGUCUUUUGGGUGUGUUGUAGGGACAGAGUCCCCUUUUUAUUGGAACUAGCGAUGUUUUAAAUGAAUGAAUGGUGGACUCUGAGAGUCCUUUGG